This 97-nucleotide ribosomal RNA is filed under the name uncultured bacterium. RNAcentral's name for it is "partial 16S ribosomal RNA". The record is from RNAcentral.
CACACCGCCCGUCACACCAUGGGAGUGGGUUUCACCAGAAGCAGGUAGUCUAACCGUAAGGAGACAGUGGCCGAAGGUAUGGCUGGUGAUUGGGAUG